UGAAUACGAGACGCUAAGGCGUCGAAGUAGUGUAUGUCAUACUUCCAAGAAAAGCUUGCACUGUCAUAGAUAAAAAACGCCUGUACCAUAACCGACACAGGUGGGUAGGUAGAGUAUACUAAGGGGCGCGAGAUAACUCUCUCUAAGGAACUCGGCAAAAUAACUCCGUAACUUCGGGAGAAGGAGUGCCUUAUUCGUAAGGUUGCAAUAACAAGAUCCAAGCAACUGUUUAUCAAAAACACAGGUCUCCGCUAAGUCGUAAGACGAUGUAUGGGGGCUGACGCCUGCCCAGUGCCAGAAGGUUAAAGAAGUUGGUUAGCAAUUGCGAAGCUGAUAACUGAAGCCCUGGUGAACGGCGGCCGUAACAAUAACGGUCCUAAGGUAGCGAAAUUCCUUGUCGGGUAAGUUCCGACCCGCACGAAAGGCGUAAUGAUUUGGAUACUGUCUCGGAGAGGGGCUCGGUGAAAUAGACUUGUCUGUGAAGAUGCGGACUACCUGCACCAGGACAGAAAGACCCUAUGAAGCUUUACUGUAACUUGAAAUUGAAAUUGGACUUUAUUCGCGCAGUAUAGGUGGGAGGCGUUGAUUAUAAUCUUGUGGGAUUAUUGGAGCCAUCAGUGAGAUACCACUCUUGUAAUGUUAGAUUUCUAACUUUGAAUCAUUAUCUGGUCAAAGAACAGUUUCAGGCGGGCAGUUUGACUGGGGCGGUCGCCUCCUAAACGGUAACGGAGGCGUACAAAGGUUUCCUCUGAACGGUUAGAAAUCGUAUCUAGAGUGUAAAGGCAUAAGGAAGCUUGACUGUGAGACCUACAAGUCGAGCAGGGACGAAAGUCGGUCUUAGUGAUCUGACGGUACUGAGUGGAAAGGCCGUCACUCAACGGAUAAAAGUUACUCUAAGGAUAACAGGCUGAUCUCCCCCAAGAGUUCACAUCGACGGGGAGGUUUGGCACCUCGAUGUCGGCUCAUCGCAUCCUGGGGCGGUAGUACGUCCCAAGGGUUGGGCUGUUCGCCCAUGAAAGCGGUACGCGAGCUGGGUUCAGAACGUCGUGAGACAGUUCGGUCCAUAUUCGGUGUAGGCGUUAGAAUAUUGAGAGGAGCCUUCUUUAGUACGAGAGGACCGAGAAGGACAUACCUCUGGUGUACCAGUUAUCGUGCCAACGGUAAACGCUGGGUAGCUAUGUAUGGAGUGGAUAACCGCUGAAAGCAUCUAAGUGGGAAGCCCACCUCAAGAUAAGUACUCUCA
RNAcentral lists this ribosomal RNA (1243 nucleotides) under metagenome. Its description in RNAcentral is "bacterial LSU rRNA". It matches the Rfam family "Bacterial large subunit ribosomal RNA", at positions 1564 to 2816 of the family's 2925-position model. The record is from RNAcentral.